Molecule: ribosomal RNA, 497 nt
Filed under: uncultured bacterium
Lineage: Bacteria
Description: partial 16S ribosomal RNA
Source: RNAcentral
GUAGUUAGCCGGGGCUUUCUUACAGGGUACCGUCACUUCUUCGUCCCCUGCGACAGAGGUUUACAAUCCGAAAACCUUCUUCCCUCACGCGGCGUUGCUGGGUCAGGCUUGCGCCCAUUGCCCAAUAUUCCCCACUGCUGCCUCCCGUAGGAGUCUGGACCGUGUCUCAGUUCCAGUGUGGCCGAUCAGCCUCUCAGCUCGGCUACCCAUCGUCGGCUUGGUGGGCUGUUAUCUCACCAACUACCUAAUGGGACGCGAACCCCUCUAAAAGCGAUAAAUCUUUGACCUCUUCCCGAUGCCGGGUUGUGGUCUUAUGCGGUAUUAGCAGUUGUUUCCACCUGUUAUUCCCCACUCUUAGGCAGGUUGUUCACGCGUUACUCACCCGUGCGCCACUAGAAUUAUCAAUUCCAUCCGAAAACUUCCUUAAUAAUCCCCGUUCGACUUGCAUGUGUUAGGCACGCCGCCAGCGUUGUCCUGAGCCAUAAUCAAACUACUGA